CCCAACAUCAAGAACAAAAUCGAUCAGACUGUUUUUGAUUUGGCUAACGAUGCAGAAAUGAAGCAGAUCAUUACAGGAAAUGUUAUGAAAGGCAUGACGCGACAUGUUAAAAUGUUUGAGGGGCCUCUUUGGAAGAGCUCGAGGUUUUUUGGCUGGCGCUCCUACUGGGUAGUUCUUCAGGAUGGAGUCUUGUCAUGGUACCCUAAACAGUGAG
Molecule: long non-coding RNA, 214 nt
Organism: Carassius auratus (goldfish)
Lineage: Eukaryota; Metazoa; Chordata; Actinopteri; Cypriniformes; Cyprinidae
Exons: 4
Source: RefSeq, a predicted model, not a curated record